AUUGAACGCUGGCGGCAGGCCUAACACAUGCAAGUCGAACGGUAACAGGAAGAAGCUUGCUUCUUUGCUGACGAGUGGCGGACGGGUGAGUAAUGUCUGGGAAACUGCCUGAUGGAGGGGGAUAACUACUGGAAACGGUAGCUAAUACCUCAUAACGUCGCAAGCCCAAAGAGGGGGACCUUCGGGCCUCUGGCCAUCGGAUGUGCCCAGAUGGGAUGAGCUGGUAGGUGGGGUAACGGCUCACCUAGGCGACGAUCCCUAGCUGGUCUGAGAGGAUGACCAGCCACACUGGAACUGAGACACGGUCCAGACUCCUACGGGAGGCAGCAGUGGGGAAUAUUGCACAGUGGGCGCAAGCCUGAUGCAGCCAUGCCGCGUGUAUGAAGAAGGCCUUCGGGUUGUAAAGUACUUUCAGCGGGGAGGAAGGGAGUAAAGUUAAUACCUUUGCUCAUUGACGUUACCCGCAGAAGAAGCACCGGCUAACUACGUG
RNAcentral lists this ribosomal RNA (490 nucleotides) under uncultured bacterium. Its description in RNAcentral is "partial 16S ribosomal RNA". It matches the Rfam family "Bacterial small subunit ribosomal RNA", at positions 30 to 507 of the family's 1533-position model. The record is from RNAcentral.